RNA transcript from Ipomoea nil (Japanese morning glory), 1381 nucleotides. It is a transcript of the gene named probable prolyl 4-hydroxylase 8, with no coding region annotated. The record is from RefSeq and is a predicted model, not a curated record. The transcript has 8 exons. Lineage: Eukaryota; Viridiplantae; Streptophyta; Magnoliopsida; Solanales; Convolvulaceae.
GGUCAAUACUGCGUAACACCCAAUCCCACAAUACCAACUGCAAUUCUCAGCUUCUUGCCUUCUUCUUCACUGGUAUAUCGUCAGCUAUAAAUAAGCCCAGCCUUUCUGUGACCGAACGCGGAAUCAAUAAAAUCCAAACCCCAAAUUCUCGCUCAAUUUCUCACCAGAGUGAGUCCAAGGCAGCCUAGCCUGAGAAUGGCGGCGAAGGGGAAGAGCAUCCGAUUGCCGCCGAGGAAAACGGCGUUGUCGUGGGCGACGGUGUUCACCGCGCUCAUAAUGGUUGCCUUUUUCGUUUUAAUUAUCCUCGCUUUGGGGGUUAUCUCGACGUCCAGAGAGUCCCCGAGAGCGCACGAUCUCACCACAAUCGCGCGCACCGCGACGGAGAGGGAAGAUGAUGGCGAUAAAGGAGAUAGGUGGGUUGAAGUGGUUUCCUGGGAGCCUAGAGCCUUUAUCUAUCAUAAUUUCUUGUCGAAGGAUGAAUGUGAAUAUUUAAUUAGCCUUGCCAAGCCCAGUAUGAGAAAGUCAACGGUUGUUGACAAUGAAACUGGCAAGAGCAAAGAUAGCAGGGUGCGGACAAGCACGGGAACAUUUCUAACCAGAGGAGGUGAUCAAAUAAUCAGUAACAUCGAGAAAAGAAUUGCACAUUUCACUCACAUACCUGUAGAAAAUGGCGAAAGCCUUCAAGUUCUCCACUAUGAAGUGGGCCAGAAGUAUGAACCCCACUAUGAUUACUUUGCUGAUGAAUUUAAUAUUCAGAAUGGGGGUCAACGAGUGGCCACGCUACUCAUGUACCUGUCUGACGUUGAAGAAGGAGGAGAAACAGUUUUCCCUGAUGCCAAGGGUAACAUUAGUGCCGUCCCUUGGUGGGAUGAGCUAUCCGAAUGUGGAAAACGCGGAUUGUCUAUAAAACCAAAAAUGGGCGAUGCAUUGCUUUUCUGGAGCAUGAAACCAGACGCAAGUCCAGAUCCUUCCAGUUUGCAUGGUGGUUGCCCCGUUAUAAAGGGUAACAAAUGGUCAUCUACAAAAUGGAUGCGCUUGCACAAGUAUGAUACAUAAACUGUGCAAACGGUAAAAUUCGUUAACCAGACUACACGCGAAUAUUGUGGAUGGCAAUUGUGCCUGUUAGCAUAAUAUGGUUACUGUGUUUACGUUUUGACAGGGGUAUCAAGAGAGCCUUCUUCUCAAGUCCUUUCAUGGCUCUUCAAGUCUCUGACACUCUUAUAGCUACAGAAAACCGGCAAAUAGGGUAGAGGAUAUAGAAACAGAAAGACCAAACUUAAAGCAUAUAGUGUACAAUUUUUACUAUGUUUUCCAGUGAGCCCUUUCAUGUUGUCAUUCAAAGCAUAAACUGUACAAUUUUUAGUAUUUUUUUUUUUUUUUU